UCCCAGUCAGGAUACGCGGGUGGCCAGGGA
This 30-nucleotide non-coding RNA is filed under the name Homo sapiens (human). Lineage: Eukaryota; Metazoa; Chordata; Mammalia; Primates; Hominidae. The record is from RNAcentral.